GCACUGCAACUUGGCCCAACCCGACCUACACAAAAUGCCCAAAAGCUUCAUGUAAUUUUCUCUAACUUCUCUCUCCUAGGGUUUCAUAUGGCUCAGAGAUGAUAGGGCAGUCAGCCUCGCUGGGGAAAGAAUGGCUGUAUUGCAGCGAGAAUCAAGGUCCAUGAGCUGAGACAGAAGACGAAGACUGAGCUCUUCAAUCAGUUAAAGGAUCUUAAGGCUGAGAUUCCAGAGCUUCGCGUCGCCAAGGUCACUGGUGGUGACCCUAACAAGCUCUCCAAGAUGUAGUCUCUCUGUCUUUAGGUCUUGGCAGUGAUUUCCCGGAAGCAGAAGGCUGCACUUGCAGAAGCAUACAAGAACAAGAAGUUCUUAACCCGUGUUCUGCGUCCUAAGAAGACCAGAGCUAUAAGCAGGAGACUUACUAAGCACCAGCAAUCAUGAAAGACUGAACGUGAGAAGAAGAGAGAAAUGUACUUUCCCAUGAGAAAGCAUGCUAUUAAGGUGUAGGGUGGUAUCUUCAGGAUAGGCUGCUUUUAUAUUUUGCAAUUAUAGACCAAUUUUAUUGACAAGUUUUGAUUUAGGUUAUGAAUAUGAACUUGCUUCUUUUGAUCUUAGCAAGAUUUAUAUUGUAACGUUAGUUGCAUAUUAAUUUCUUUUCAUGUACCUUGGAUCCUUAGUGAUAUUUUCCUUUUUUGUUUUAAAUAUGGGUUUUCUGUUU
This is a long non-coding RNA of Manihot esculenta (cassava), 715 nucleotides long. RefSeq lists it as uncharacterized. The record is from RefSeq and is a predicted model, not a curated record. NCBI's taxonomy places the organism in Eukaryota, Viridiplantae, Streptophyta, Magnoliopsida, Malpighiales, Euphorbiaceae. The transcript has 4 exons.